Molecule: ribosomal RNA, 547 nt
Filed under: Aphytis melinus
Lineage: Eukaryota; Metazoa; Arthropoda; Insecta; Hymenoptera; Aphelinidae
Description: partial large subunit ribosomal RNA
Rfam family: Eukaryotic large subunit ribosomal RNA
Source: RNAcentral
UUAGUACCGUGAGGGAAAGUUGAAAAGAAGCUAUGAAGAGAGAGUUCAAGAGUACGUGAAACCGUUCAGGGGUAAACCUGAGAAACCCAAAAGAUCGAAUGGGGAGAUUCAACGUAAACUUUGCCGAUUGCCGUGUUGUAACGCGCGAUAUUUGUUAUCUCGGUAACGAGUACGCCGUUGCUGCGGUUUGUAUUGGUUAAGUAAGCGUGCACUUCUCCCCUAGUAGGACGUCGCGACCCGUUGGGUGCCGGCCUACGGCCCGCAAGGUCGACUGUUGCUUGGGCGUUUACGCGCCUCUCGUGGCAGACCUGCGGAUGCCCGGCCGGCUGCCCGGCGGUAGUGAUUAAUCAAGAAUUGGUAUUUGGCCGCAUCUCGUAUGUGCGUACCGGCUCAUUGGCAGGCUCGCCUUGCUCGGUAAACGGACCUAGCGCCGUUGCCGGGUACUUGGUGGGUCGUUCGCUGACGAUGUCCUCGUACUGGCUAUUACCGGUCGGCGACGCUACUGCUUUGGGUACUUUCAGGACCCGUCUUGAAAAACGGACAAAAA